GUGUGAGUUAGUCCCUUGAGGUGUUAAGAGCUUAGUCUAAUCUAAUCUAAUAUAUCUAACUUUUUUUCACUUAGAUGAUCAUUUUUUUUUCCGCUUCUUUUUCUUUUCAUUUCAUUAUCUUUUUUAGAGAUCUGUGGAAAGGAUAGCACUCGAGAGUUGUGGCAGUGUGAGUUGGUCCCUUGAGGUCUUGCGGAUACCCACCUCC
RNAcentral lists this long non-coding RNA (205 nucleotides) under Elaeis guineensis (African oil palm). RNAcentral's name for it is "long non-coding RNA (EGUI_LNC041903)". The record is from RNAcentral. Lineage: Eukaryota; Viridiplantae; Streptophyta; Magnoliopsida; Arecales; Arecaceae.